UUUAGAUCUCCAAUUCUCCAAGACCUUUACAGACAAGGAAUAAGUGAGAAGUGGGCCAAGAUCCCAACCAUCGUGAUAGAAGACUAAUCUGGAUGACGCAUCUCAAAGGCUUCAGCUUCUCUUGAAACAAGCACAGUUCUCUAUCAUUCGUCAUAUUUCAACCUGGGAUGCAUGUCCAAUGGAAGUCAAUAUUGGAGCUAGGGGACAAGGGAACAUCAAUUGAGCAUCAGGCAUUGUCUUCCCCCCUACCCUUCAGAUACAUCAGUGAUUAGUUGAGCAUGAGCUAGCAGAGUUAUAGCAUAGACCAAACCUAGGAGGGUACGAAAGAGGUCAAACACUUGAGGUGGUCAUACAUGUGCUUCCUCAGAUCGAUGCUCAACUUUCUAUCAAUUUUAGCCGUAUUCACCUUGAUUUUUUCAGGAUACAGAUGAUCAUUCAUGCCCACGUGAAUAGCUAAAGGGAUUCUUGGACUUCCAAUUCCAAUACUAGAUGAUCUUCACCACUAAGAUGUGAACCGCACCAGGCUGCUUGUACUGCUCGUAUUGAAGCUGCAUGCAUAAGCAUUCAUCAUGGCAUCUGAAUUUGGGAAACUGCAUAAGUACCAACUUGUAGAUUAUAUUAUAACUUGAAGUUCUUGGUUUUCAAGUUGGACUAUUAGCAAGUCUCGUAAAACCUUUUGAUUAAUUACAUGGACCGAGGACGGUCUAGUCAAGAAUAUCGAUCUCUUCCAUUGUCUGGACUUUAUUAGACUUACUGGGAAGCUAUGCAAGGUUAUGACAAUGAGCUGUCAUUGGAGAAGUUAAACUUGGGAUUGUUCCUUUGGUCUAAGUAGGUUAUGCUAGCUUGUGUAUCCUUCUGCUCGUCUAAGUUAUAUCGUCAUUGUUUAUAUAGGUGAUCAUGACUGUCAGGAGCUUAAGAGGUUACAAACAGCACCAGUUAGAGACAUGUUCUUAAAGCAUUGAAAGAAGGCAUGAGGUUACUGAAGGCUGCCAGUUUGAAGACCUUCCUGUUUGGUUAUGAUACUCUUCUUCCUCUAAUGCUGGAACUUGGGUCCCUAUCAAGUACAUUUUAGAAAGAUUGCAAGCACCCUUCUGUGUAUGGAAUUGGGAGGUUCGGCUUCAAAGUUCUGUUGGUUAGACUCCUGAAGAUGAGAUGACCCUCAGGUACUCUUCAUGUUGUGUGGAAAGUUCCAGAAUAAUUCAAAAGAAAUCUUUAGAAGAAAAUCGCACCAACGUACAUGUACAGCUCACACUGAGGCUUCAUUUAGAAUGGCCUUGGAGUUGCAAAGCUGAUGGGAUGCUAAUAUGAUAAGCUGUCUAUGUCAUAACCUAAAGUUCUCAGUUCAUGUGUGUUUGUGGCACAUAUAUGGCUCUGUAAGACUGUGACUGUGAGACUGAGUUAAGGAUCAUAGAUUGCUUUAACUUUUUGGUUAUUUGGGUGCACCUAGGUUGGACUGUUGGAGCAAUGCAUCUGAGGCACCAAUCAGACCUACAUUUGACAAGCUGUGGGGUGGCCAUGAUAGAUGAAAGAAGGAGGAUUGGGCAAGUACUCAUGCAUCCAAUAUUUGAUUGGGAGCCCAGCCCAGGUCUCCGUUCCCUAUUCCUUUUUGCUGAUACGAAUUUGCCUGUAUGCUGAUCUCUACUUGUGCAGAGAGGAUAAUCAAGGUGCAGUCAAACCACCAUUCCUUGCGGUAGAAUGUCAAGCAACAAUAUUACAACAUGCAAUUACAAACUUAUUUUGUAUCACCUAUUUGACUGAUGGAUGAGGCAGG
Molecule: long non-coding RNA, 1771 nt
Organism: Rosa rugosa (rugosa rose)
Lineage: Eukaryota; Viridiplantae; Streptophyta; Magnoliopsida; Rosales; Rosaceae
Exons: 9
Source: RefSeq, a predicted model, not a curated record